AUUGAACGCUGGCGGCAUGCUUUACACAUGCAAGUCCAACGGCAGCGCGGGCUUCGGCCUGGCGGCGAGUGGCGAACGGGUGAGUAAUGCAUCGGAACGUGCCCAGUAGUGGGGGAUAGCCCGGCGAAAGCCGGAUUAAUACCGCAUACGACCUGAGGGUGAAAGCGGGGGACCGAAAGGCCUCGCGCUAUUGGAGCGGCCGAUGUCGGAUUAGCUAGUUGGUGGGGUAAAGGCUUACCAAGGCGACGAUCCGUAGCUGGUCUGAGAGGACGACCAGCCACACUGGGACUGAGACACGGCCCAGACUCCUACGGGAGGCAGCAGUGGGGAAUUUUGGACAAUGGGGGCAACCCUGAUCCAGCCAUGCCGCGUGCGGGAAGAAGGCCUUCGGGUUGUAAACCGCUUUUGUUCGGGAAGAAAUCCUCUGGGCUAAUACCCCGGGGGGAUGACGGUACCGGAAGAAUAAGCACCGGCUAACUACGUG
Molecule: ribosomal RNA, 484 nt
Filed under: uncultured bacterium
Lineage: Bacteria
Description: partial 16S ribosomal RNA
Rfam family: Bacterial small subunit ribosomal RNA
Source: RNAcentral